GACGAACGCUGGCGGCGUGCUUAACACAUGCAAGUGGAGCGACGAACCAGGGCUUGCCCUGGGGCAGAGCCGCGAACGGGUGAGUAACACGUGGGUUACCUGCCCCGAUGACCGGGACAACCCGAGGAAACUCGGGCUAAUACCGGAUGUGGUCUUCGGACGAAAGGAAGCUUCGGGCCUCCGCAUCGGGAUGGGCCCGCGGCGCAUUAGCUUGUUGGUGGGGUGAUGGCCUACCAAGGCGACGACGGGUAGCCGGCCUGAGAGGGCGACCGGCCACACUGGGACUGAGACACGGCCCAGACUCCUACGGGAGGCAGCAGUGGGAAUCUUGCGCAAUGGGCGAAAGCCUGACGCAGCGACGCCGCGUGAGGGAUGACGGCCUCGG
Molecule: ribosomal RNA, 385 nt
Filed under: uncultured bacterium
Lineage: Bacteria
Description: bacterial SSU rRNA
Rfam family: Bacterial small subunit ribosomal RNA
Source: RNAcentral